This is a long non-coding RNA of Solanum pennellii, 1040 nucleotides long. RefSeq lists it as uncharacterized. The transcript has 2 exons. The record is from RefSeq and is a predicted model, not a curated record. NCBI's taxonomy places the organism in Eukaryota, Viridiplantae, Streptophyta, Magnoliopsida, Solanales, Solanaceae.
AAAGGAACAAAACUUUCCCACUCUUCCUCGAAAUUCAUGUUCUAGGUUUAAUUGUUAGUACAAUAAAAAAAAACUAAUAGUGUUAAUUCGUUCUUCUUGCCUUCCUAGGCUCCGCUCCAUUUUUUCCAUGAUUAUAGGUUGAGCUUUAUGAGGCAAAAAGAAAUCUAAAACAAAUGGCAAGCAUAUAACGUCAUGUCCAACAAACUUUCGAGUUCAAGUGAUUCUUCGGUAUCGGUUUUAUCUUCAUAAAAAUCUCUAAUAAAUAUAACAAAAAGGCAACUCUCAGAUUUUGAGUAUCCAAAAAGUACGAUAAAUAACCAGUAAUUAAGAAAAAAAAAGAGUUAAAACACUACAAAUCUGUAUUUCGAGAUAUUUCAAAUAUAGGAAGCUUCUUAUUAUGCAAAGAACAUAUGAUGAGAACUUAUAUGGUUCCACCAAUAAAAUAUCAUACAUAUGUUUUUUGUUUGAUGAGAGGCUUCCUAUAUUUAAAAUAUUUUGCUAUGCAGAUUUUAGAACUUUAAUUCUUUUUCUUCUUACAGGGGUCAUUUGUCGUACUUUUUUGGUUCCUCAAUAAUUUGAGAUUUGACUUGGUGUUAUUUUUAUCAGGUUUUUCAAUGAAGAUGAUAUAUAGUGAUAGUGAAGAAUCAAUUUAACAAGAAAGUUUAUCGGACAUUGUCAUUGAUAACCUCGAGGAAGUUAAGCUAGCCAAUUUAUAGGAAGAAUGUAUGAGAUGCAAUUUAUCAAGAUUUUCUUAGUGAACUCUAAGGGAUUGGAGAGAAUGCUAAUAUGUCGAAAAAUUCUUGAUCGGGAACUUUUUGACACAAGAUUAGAAUUUUUCUCCGAGAUCUUAAUUUUUUUUUUGUGCAUCACCUAAAUAAAAAAUUAUCUACAUAAAUUUAAGCCGAUCUCAAUCUUUUGCUUAGAAAUUUAAACUUAUAAGGGAGAGAGACAUGUUGAUGUAGUAUUAUAACUCUAUUUUGUAACGACUAAUUCAUAACAUGAUCAAUGCUUGAAUGGAUGUUUUGAUUAGUUUAUUGUCA